GACGAACGCUUGCGGCGUGCUUAACACAUGCAAGUCGAACGGAAAGGCCCUGCUUUUGUGGGGUGCUCGAGCGGCGAACGGGUGAGUAACACGUGAGUAACCUGCCCUUGACUUUGGGAUAACUUCAGGAAACUGGGGCUAAUACCGGAUAGGAGCUCCUGCUGCAUGGUGGGGGUUGGAAAGUUUCGGCGGUUGGGGAUGGACUCGCGGCUUAUCAGCUUGUUGGUGGGGUAGUGGCUUACCAAGGCUUUGACGGGUAGCCGGCCUGAGAGGGUGACCGGCCACAUUGGGACUGAGAUACGGCCCAGACUCCUACGGGAGGCAGCAGUGGGGAAUAUUGCACAAUGGGCGGAAGCCUGAUGCAGCAACGCCGCGUGCGGGAUGACGGCCUUCGGGUUGUAAACCGCUUUCGCCUGUGACGAAGCGUGAGUGACGGUAAUGGGUAAAGAAGCACCGGCUAACUACGUGCCAGCAGCCGCGGUGAUACGUAGGGUGCGAGCGUUGUCCGGAUUUAUUGGGCGUAAAGGGCUCGUAGGUGGUUGAUCGCGUCGGAAGUGUAAUCUUGGGGCUUAACCCUGAGCGUGCUUUCGAUACGGGUUGACUUGAGGAAGGUAGGGGAGAAUGGAAUUCCUGGUGGAGCGGUGGAAUGCGCAGAUAUCAGGAGGAACACCAGUGGCGAAGGCGGUUCUCUGGGCCUUUCCUGACGCUGAGGAGCGAAAGCGUGGGGAGCGAACAGGCUUAGAUACCCUGGUAGUCCACGCUGUAAACGGUGGGUACUAGGUGUGGGGUCCAUUCCACGGGUUCCGUGCCGUAGCUAACGCUUUAAGUACCCCGCCUGGGGAGUACGGCCGCAAGGCUAAAACUCAAAGGAAUUGACGGGGCCCCGCACAAGCGGCGGAGCAUGCGGAUUAAUUCGAUGCAACGCGUAGAACCUUACCUGGGUUUGACAUGGAUCGGGAGUGCUCAGAGAUGGGUGUGCCUCUUUUGGGGUCGGUUCACAGGUGGUGCAUGGCUGUCGUCAGCUCGUGUCGUGAGAUGUUGGGUUAAGUCCCGCAACGAGCGCAACCCUUGUACACUGUUGCCAGCACGUUAUGGUGGGGACUCAGUGGAGACCGCCGGGGUCAACUCGGAGGAAGGUGGGGAUGACGUCAAGUCAUCAUGCCCCUUAUGUCCAGGGCUUCACGCAUGCUACAAUGGCUGGUACAGAGAGUGGCGAGCCUGUGAGGGUGAGCGAAUCUCGGAAAGCCGGUCUCAGUUCGGAUUGGGGUCUGCAACUCGACCUCAUGAAGUCGGAGUCGCUAGUAAUCGCAGAUCAGCAACGCUGCGGUGAAUACGUUCCCGGGGCU
Molecule: ribosomal RNA, 1346 nt
Filed under: uncultured bacterium
Lineage: Bacteria
Description: partial 16S ribosomal RNA
Rfam family: Bacterial small subunit ribosomal RNA
Source: RNAcentral